RNAcentral lists this ribosomal RNA (449 nucleotides) under uncultured bacterium. RNAcentral's name for it is "partial 16S ribosomal RNA". It matches the Rfam family "Bacterial small subunit ribosomal RNA", at positions 29 to 523 of the family's 1533-position model. The record is from RNAcentral.
AACGAACGCUGGCGGCAUGCCUAACACAUGCAAGUCGAACGAGACCUUCGGGUCUAGUGGCGCACGGGUGCGUAACGCGUGGGAAUCUGCCCUUGGGUACGGAAUAACAGUUAGAAAUGACUGCUAAUACCGUAUAAUGACUUCGGUCCAAAGAUUUAUCGCCCAGGGAUGAGCCCGCGUAGGAUUAGCUUGUUGGUGAGGUAAAGGCUCACCAAGGCGACGAUCCUUAGCUGGUCUGAGAGGAUGAUCAGCCACACUGGGACUGAGACACGGCCCAGACUCCUACGGGUGGCAGCAGUGGGGAAUAUUGGACAAUGGGCGCAAGCCUGAUCCAGCAAUGCCGCGUGAGUGAUGAAGGCCUUAGGGUUGUAAAGCUCUUUUACCCGGGAAGAUAAUGACUGUACCGGGAGAAUAAGCCCCGGCUAACUCCGUGCCAGCAGCCGCCGUAA